AAAUGAAUUGACGGGGACCCGCACAAGCAGCGGAGCAUGUGGUUUAAUUCGAAGAUACGCGAAAAACCUUACCAGGACUUGACAUCCUUUGACAGGCCGGGAAACCGGUUUUUGAUAGCAAUAUUACAAAGUGACAGAUGGUGCAUGGUUGUCGUCAGCUCGUGUCGUGAGAUGUUCGGUUAAGUCCGUCAACGAGCGCAACCCCUGCUUUCAGUUGCCAGCAUUAAGUUGGGCACUCUGGAGGGACUGCCGUAGUUAAUACGGAGGAAGGUGGGGAUGACGUCAAAUCAUCAUGCCUCUUACGUUCUGGGCUACACACGUGCUACAAUGGUGACUACAAACAGUUGCAAUAUGGUAACAUGGAGCCAACCUGAAAAAAGUCAUCUCAAUUCGGAUUGAGGGCUGAAACCCGCCCUCAUGAAGUCGGAGUUGCUAGUAAUCCCGAAUCAGCAUGUCGGGGUGAAUGCGUUCCCGGGUCUUGUACACACCGCCCGU
This 495-nucleotide ribosomal RNA is filed under the name uncultured bacterium. RNAcentral describes it as "bacterial SSU rRNA". It matches the Rfam family "Bacterial small subunit ribosomal RNA", at positions 903 to 1397 of the family's 1533-position model. The record is from RNAcentral.